UGGGGAAUCUUGCACAAUGGGGGCAACCCUGAUGCAGCGACGCCGCGUGAGCGAUGAAGCCCUUCGGGGCGUAAAGCUCUUUCGACCGGAACGAUAAUGACGGUACCGGGAGAAGAAGCUGCGGCUAACUACGUGCCAGCAGCCGCGGUAAUACGUAGGCAGCAAGCGUUGUUCGGAGUUACUGGGCGUAAAGAGUGCGUAGGCGGUUUUCUAAGUUCGGUGUGAAAUCUCCCGGCUUAACUGGGAGGGUGCGCCGAAGACUGGGACGCUGGAGUGCGGGAAAGGCAGGCGGAAUUCCUGGUGUAGCGGUGAAAUGCGUAGAUAUCAGGAGGAACACCGGCGGUGUAGACGGCUUGCUAGACCAUAACUGACGCUGAGGCACGAAAGCGUGGGUAGCAAACA
Molecule: ribosomal RNA, 402 nt
Filed under: uncultured bacterium
Lineage: Bacteria
Description: bacterial SSU rRNA
Rfam family: Bacterial small subunit ribosomal RNA
Source: RNAcentral